Molecule: ribosomal RNA, 482 nt
Filed under: uncultured bacterium
Lineage: Bacteria
Description: partial 16S ribosomal RNA
Rfam family: Bacterial small subunit ribosomal RNA
Source: RNAcentral
AUUGAACGCUGGCGGCAUGCCUUACACAUGCAAGUCGAACGGUAACAGGUCUUCGGAUGCUGACGAGUGGCGAACGGGUGAGUAAUACAUCGGAACGUGCCCGAUCGUGGGGGAUAACGAGGCGAAAGCUUUGCUAAUACCGCAUACGAUCUACGGAUGAAAGCGGGGGAUCUUCGGACCUCGCGCGGACGGAGCGGCCGAUGGCAGAUUAGGUAGUUGGUGGGAUAAAAGCUUACCAAGCCGACGAUCUGUAGCUGGUCUGAGAGGAUGGUCAGCCACACUGGGACUGAGACACGGCCCAGACUCCUACGGGAGGCAGCAGUGGGGAAUUUUGGACAAUGGGCGAAAGCCUGAUCCAGCCAUGCCGCGUGCAGGAUGAAGGCCUUUGGGUUGUAAACUGCUUUUGUACGGAACGAAAAGCCUCUUUCUAAUAAAGAGGGGUCAUGACGGUACCGUAAGAAUAAGCACCGGCUAACUACGUG